UACGUAGGGUGCGAGCGUUGUCCGGAAUUAUUGGGCGUAAAGGGCUCGUAGGCGGUUUGUCGCGUCGGGAGUGAAAUCCACUGGCUUAACUGGUGGCUUGCUUUCGAUACGGGCAGACUGGAGGUAUGCAGGGGGAGAACGGAAUUCCUGGUGUAGCGGUGAAAUGCGCAGAUAUCAGGAGGAACACCGGUGGCGAAGGCGGUUCUCUGGGCAUGUCCUGACGCUGAGGAGCGAAAGUGUGGGGAGCGAACAAG
This 254-nucleotide ribosomal RNA is filed under the name uncultured bacterium. RNAcentral describes it as "partial 16S ribosomal RNA". It matches the Rfam family "Bacterial small subunit ribosomal RNA", at positions 524 to 776 of the family's 1533-position model. The record is from RNAcentral.